AUGCAGAUUUGUAAGUGUCAAGAAAGGUCAGAUUCAAGGACCUCAAAACAUCCACGUCUGCUUCAUUUAAAGGAUAGAAAAACUUGAUAGCUUAAUUAUCAGAGUUUGAUUGACUGGGAUCAAGGGUGCUUUUCAAUUUUAGAUUGUCGAGUCACUAGAUGUAAUCCAUAAGGAAUCUAGAACAUGCUACUCAAAAAGUCUUCAACUUUUCACCAAGAAAAAUGUGACAUUUAGUCAUCAAUAAAAUGCCAGUUCCAAGGCCUUUAUUUACCAUUCCAUGUCCUAAAAGUUUCUGUAGAGAAAAUGGAUUAGGUUUAACUCAACCCUAAAAGCUAACUCAAAGGAAAAGAAGUGCCCAAGACUUUAUAAAUGACACAUUACCUCUAUCCCAAACCGAUAUGAGAUAUUAACACACCUCAUGAAACACUUAUG
This 432-nucleotide unclassified non-coding RNA is filed under the name Hevea brasiliensis (rubber tree). The record is from RNAcentral. Lineage: Eukaryota; Viridiplantae; Streptophyta; Magnoliopsida; Malpighiales; Euphorbiaceae.